GGUUUGACAAAAUAAAUAUUGUCUCUGUUAUUAAAGUAAAAUUUAACUUUUAGGUGAAAAGGCCUAAAUUGACCAAAGUGACGAUAAGACCCUAAAAGCUUUAUAUUUUAUAUUUUAUUUUAAAAAAUUUAAUUAAUUAUAAGUUUAAGGUAUUUUAAUUAGCUGGGGCGGCGUAUAAAUAAUUUUUGUAACUUUAUAAAUCUUAAACACUAAAUACGUGGAGAGACGAUAAUAGAUCCUUUAUAAAGACUAAAGAAAAGUUACUUUAGGGAUAACAGCGUAAUUUUUUUUAAGAGUUCAUAUCGAAAAAAGAGAUUGCGACCUCGAUGUUGAAUUAAAAAUUCUAUUUAAUGCAGCAGUUAAAUAAGAAGGUCUGUUCGACCUUUAAUUUUUUA
Molecule: ribosomal RNA, 395 nt
Filed under: Urnalana parahaematostica
Lineage: Eukaryota; Metazoa; Arthropoda; Malacostraca; Decapoda; Leucosiidae
Description: partial 16S ribosomal RNA
Rfam family: Bacterial large subunit ribosomal RNA (bases 271-395)
Source: RNAcentral